UAAUGUCUAUCUGCCCACUGAUAAUUUAUUAAAGGGCUGCAGUAUUUUGACUGUACAAAGGUAGCAUAAUCAUUAGUCUCUUAAUUGGUGACUUGUAUGAAAGAUUGGAUGAGAUAUAUACUGUCUCUUAUUUAUAUGAAGAAUUUAAUUUUUUAGUUAAAAAGCUAAAAUAAUUUUAAAAGACGAGAAGACCCUAUAGAGUUUUAUAUUUAAAUUUAUUAAGAUUAUAUUUUAGUUUAAUAAUUAAAAUUAAUUUAAAAUAUUUUAUUGGGGUGAUAGAAAAAUAAGUUUAACUUUUUUUAAUUAAAUUCAUAAAUAAAUGAAUAAUUGAUCCAAAAUUUUUUGAUUAUAAGAAAAAAUUACCUUAGGGAUAACAGCGUAAUUUUUUUUUUUAGUUCAAAUAAGAAAAAGAGUUUGCGACCUCGAUGUUGGAUUAAGAUAAAAUUUAUAUGCAAAAGUAUAAAAUUUGAUCGUCGAUCAUACUC
Molecule: ribosomal RNA, 485 nt
Filed under: Torulisquama evenoralis
Lineage: Eukaryota; Metazoa; Arthropoda; Insecta; Lepidoptera; Crambidae
Description: partial large subunit ribosomal RNA
Source: RNAcentral